GAGUUAUGUUCUGGAUUUAUUCAGAAAUCUCCCACCCUUUGUGUUUUUAAAUGAAUCAAUUACUUUGGUGAAGCGUCUGGGACGGUUUACAUAUUUGCGUAUGUACUGGACCAGCCAUCGGCUUGCAAGAGCGGGUGUGUUCUUGCCAAAGGACCUCAACUCUUUUAUCAUUUACAAUUGUCUGAGUUUAUAUUUUAAAUAAACAAAACUUUCAACAAUGGAUCUCUUGGUUCU
This 234-nucleotide unclassified non-coding RNA is filed under the name rhizosphere metagenome. Its description in RNAcentral is "partial ribosomal RNA internal transcribed spacer region". The record is from RNAcentral.